Diospyros lotus (date-plum) is the source of this 1970-nucleotide long non-coding RNA. RefSeq lists it as uncharacterized. The record is from RefSeq and is a predicted model, not a curated record. Lineage: Eukaryota; Viridiplantae; Streptophyta; Magnoliopsida; Ericales; Ebenaceae. The transcript has 3 exons.
CAGACAUUAUUUUACAUAAACAGUAAUUUGAAUUAGCUAAAUAAGCUAGUUUUCUUUUGUCAUGAGCCGAGCUGGGAGGAAGCCUUAAUUGCCUUUGCAUCUUUAUCAUUGAAGUAAACAUUUUUAUCAGAGUGUUGAAGUAUGAAUGGAACGGAAAAACCAAAGACUCGGGGAAUGGAAGAGAAGUACUCGAGAACCUGCAACCUCAUACCAACUUGAAGAAUCUUGCAAUAUCCAAGUAUGGGGCGCGAGCUUCCUAAUUGGUUGCAAGAUGCCUCGUCUGGGGCCUUCAACGCCUAGGUUGUCUUGAAACACUGGUAAUCAACUGCUAUGAACUCAAGUCCUUGCCUGAAGAGGGCCUUCCUAUACCCAUGGAUAAGCUGCUAGGUGUAAACCAAAUGGUGAGAAUGCUAAGGAUUUUUCAAGGUGCCCUGCUUGUUUAUGUGCGAACUUUCUUUCUGAAAAGUUGAGGUCUAAUGAAUUUAUUUUCUUCUUAUCUUGAAUCAUUGGAGAAAGAUGUUCCAAGGCAGUGCAAUAAAUAGAAAAAUUUUAUACAAAUAUAUUGUACAAUUUUCAUUCAACACUGUAAAGGUUGCUUGUAUCAAACUUUAGUAUUUAGUAAUAAAUUAUUGAUAUAAAAAUUUUACUUGCAUAAUUUUUUUAUUAAAAGUUUUUUUAUACUAACGAGUGCUCCAAGGUGUAUUAAAAACAAGUGCCUUAAAGUUGUUCAUUACCGACUAAUAUGAAUAGUUGGAACUAAAAAUGAGAGAUAUUAAAUAUAUUUUAUCUAAAAAUAAGAUAUAUUUAUUGCAUCUUAAGCACGCCCAUUAUUUUAAUCAUUUUGGCACUAAGUUGUAGCAAAAAGUUUGUCUAUAUAAACUAAUUACUUUGAACUGUCAAAAUCUUGUGCAUUUAAUUUUUUUAAAUCUAUAUAAUAAAGUAAAAAGGUUUUUGAUUUGUAUAAUAUAAAUGUGAGAGCGAUAUUUUUUGAAUGAUUGUGAUGACUUUUCAAGAAAAUUAAUAGCUGAGAUCAACACAUUUUUUCCCCCUAAACCAUCCCAUCCUUCACACUCACACUCUUCCCUCUCUACCCAACACACACCAAAUCUUCUUCAGUGGCCUUCAAAAUUUAGAAAUCUUUAGGCAUUGGGAUUGUGGUUGAGAGAAGAAGAGAGCACAAAUGAAGAAAAAAAGAGAGAAGAAAUAGCAGGUGGCCGAGAGCAAUUGUGAGACCGCUCUGCCUCUAUCCCUCCUCUUCUCCUUCUCUUUCUUUCUCUAUCUCCCCCGCUCCUAUGGCCACUCGGACCGCCAUUGCUCCCACCUGUUGCCCACAUCGCCCCCCCCACCUAGCCACAAUCGUCGCCCCCCAAAAAACCCCUGAAACUCACCACCGUCGCCUCUACAGCCGUUCACACCCGUCGUCGCCCCCACUAGGCCAUAACACAGCUCGCCUCACCAUCCCCGUCGCCCCUACCAACGCCACUCUUUGCCAACGCCCCCAUCCAGCCAUCGCCGUCGCCCCUACCCGGCCACCGUCGUCACCUCUCGCCAACAUCACCUGAAGCUCCGCCUCCGGCUCAAAGCCAUGAAGACUUCAAGUCCAUGAAGAAUUCAAGCCCAUGAAGAAAUCAAGCCCAUGAAAAAUUAAAGUCCAUGAAGAAUUCAACUCCAUGAAGAAUUAAGGCCCAAUUUGAGCAACCCAUGGAAGAUAUUAUUUGGAGAAGGUCCAAGGAUUAUUUUUAAUCCUAAUGAAGAUUAAAAACCAAUUUAUAGAAAUCUAUUUUUAUUUUUUUAUGUGAGAGCUUUAUUAGGUGUGUUUUUUAGCUAAAAUCCAUUUAACUAUUAGGUGGAUAUUAUAGCUAAAAUCCAUUUAACUUUAUGAGUGCUUUAUUAGAUAUGUAUUUUAGCUAAAAUCCAUUUAAUAUUAGGUGUGUAUUAUAGCUAAAAUCCAUUUAACUUUAAGUGUGUGA